Molecule: ribosomal RNA, 339 nt
Filed under: Triticum aestivum (bread wheat)
Lineage: Eukaryota; Viridiplantae; Streptophyta; Magnoliopsida; Poales; Poaceae
Description: partial small subunit ribosomal RNA
Source: RNAcentral
AUGGCUUCAUCCGGUUCCAUGACGAGGCCACCGUGUGCUAACCAAGAAGACAUGCCGAACAAGUGGGAAGACGCAUCUUUGGACAAGGUGAAGGAGAAAGAUGUCAACAUCCCGCCAUGUUGGUGUGGAGAUGUUUGCAAGGUGAAGGUGUCCACCAACCGAAAGAAAGCAUGGACGGAAGGGCGGAGAUAUUUUGUAUGCCCGAACUAUGCUUAUGAUCGUGCACUUACAACUAACGCCUAUGACCAACCACCGGUAAGCUCGAGAAGUACUUCACCGCCUGCUCUAUGCAACACUAAGCUCGAGAAAAUGUUACUCUCAAAUGUGUGUCAACACUAA